Molecule: ribosomal RNA, 596 nt
Filed under: Citrobacter freundii
Lineage: Bacteria; Pseudomonadati; Pseudomonadota; Gammaproteobacteria; Enterobacterales; Enterobacteriaceae
Description: bacterial SSU rRNA
Rfam family: Bacterial small subunit ribosomal RNA
Source: RNAcentral
CGGAAAAAGAGUCGACGGUAGCACAGAGAGCUUGCUCUCGGGUGACGAGUGGCGGACGGGUGAGUAAUGUCUGGGAAACUGCCCGAUGGAGGGGGAUAACUACUGGAAACGGUAGCUAAUACCGCAUAAUGUCGCAAGACCAAAGAGGGGGACCUUCGGGCCUCUUGCCAUCGGAUGUGCCCAGAUGGGAUUAGCUAGUAGGUGGGGUAACGGCUCACCUAGGCGACGAUCCCUAGCUGGUCUGAGAGGAUGACCAGCCACACUGGAACUGAGACACGGUCCAGACUCCUACGGGAGGCAGCAGUGGGGAAUAUUGCACAAUGGGCGCAAGCCUGAUGCAGCCAUGCCGCGUGUAUGAAGAAGGCCUUCGGGUUGUAAAGUACUUUCAGCGAGGAGGAAGGCGUUGUGGUUAAUAACCACAGCGAUUGACGUUACUCGCAGAAGAAGCACCGGCUAACUCCGUGCCACAGCCGCGGUAAUACGGAGGGUGCAAGCGUUAAUCGGAAUUACUGGGCGUAAAGCGCACGCAGGCGGUCUGUCAAGUCGGAUGUGAAAUCCCCGGGCUCAACCUGGGAACUGCAUCCAAACUGGCAGGU